GUUGUUUUCAGUGCAUCAGGAAUCCUCUCAAACAGCACUGCUGAUAUUCAAUAGCACCUCUGGUUACACGAAGAGAGAAUAAGAAAUAUAUUUCCAUGAUUUCUUCCUGGUUUUGUACUCCAGUGAAGCCUCUGUCCUUUCUUGCUAGGAUUGGCAAGGGGCCAAUCCACAGUGCCAGAGUAUGCCACAGAAGCUGUAAAAAAUCAUGGUGUGAGAAGUGGACUACACAGAAAGGGAUAAAAUCCACACCAGGGAAGCUACAAGAUGCUAGGCAAAUAAUGGGCCUGUACGCAAUAAAACUGUUUUAUAUACCACAUUGAAUGAUUUCCUCUGCCUUUGACCUUCCAUACAAUGUGGGUAGUAAAUACAACUCCUGAUGAGGUAUUGUGCCUCUGUUUACAAACAUCCAAUUCGUGAGCCAGAACAUGAAUUUAUUCCAUGCUAACACUGUACACCAACACAUUUAAAGUGGAAUGAGUGUGGCUUUGUGGUAGGUAGCUUACUCAAUAUUGUAAAUAGA
Molecule: long non-coding RNA, 520 nt
Filed under: Anser brachyrhynchus (Pink-footed goose)
Lineage: Eukaryota; Metazoa; Chordata; Aves; Anseriformes; Anatidae
Description: lncRNA (ENSABRG00000007450.1)
Source: RNAcentral